AGGUUAUGAUGUGGAUGGACACUUGCGCAAUACAUCCUUGUAUAACUCUCAUGCCUCAUAUAAUUAUUCACCCUCAAAUUGGGUGAAGGUAGUGAUAUCAUUCAUUAACUU
This is a small nucleolar RNA of Juglans microcarpa x Juglans regia, 111 nucleotides long. The record is from RefSeq and is a predicted model, not a curated record. Lineage: Eukaryota; Viridiplantae; Streptophyta; Magnoliopsida; Fagales; Juglandaceae.